This 107-nucleotide small nuclear RNA is filed under the name Myotis brandtii (Brandt's bat). Lineage: Eukaryota; Metazoa; Chordata; Mammalia; Chiroptera; Vespertilionidae. The record is from RNAcentral.
GUGCUAGCUUCGGCAGCACAUAUACUAAAACUGGAACAAUGCAGAGAAGAUAAGCAUGGCCCCUGCACAAGGAUGACACGCAAAUUUGUGAAGCAUUCCAUAUUUUU